Procambarus clarkii (red swamp crayfish) is the source of this 886-nucleotide long non-coding RNA. RefSeq lists it as uncharacterized. The record is from RefSeq and is a predicted model, not a curated record. Lineage: Eukaryota; Metazoa; Arthropoda; Malacostraca; Decapoda; Cambaridae.
ACUAUAUUCUACCCACUUCAAGACUCCGCACCAAUAUAGAAGCAUCAAGAAAUAUGGGCCAAUAGGCCCUUUGCAGUUACUUCCAUUCUUAACUCUGAUUAAGAAAAGUUAACAUAUUACCAAUGGUAGCCAAGAGCCUCAUUAUAUUUGGCAGUAUUAAUGGUGAUUUUAUCGAGUGUCACAGGGGGCGAGGUUGGCCCAAUGCCCCCUGAAGACUGGAAGGGAAGAUGGCGAGAGAAGAGUUGUGGAGAACGGGACAUCUUGCACCUGCUACUCCAGAUGUUGCACCUGCUACUCGAAAUCAUGCACCUGCUACUCCAGAUCUUGCACCUGCCACUCCAGAUCUUGCACCUGCUACUCCAGAUCUUUCACCUGCUACUCCAGACGUUCUCGCACUUGAUGUUGCAGGGCCCAGCACAUCACGUGCUGGUAGAAUGUAAUGGUAGAAUUCGCCAUGACAAUGACAGCUGUCAACUACAAUGCUGGGUAUCUGAUGGGAUCUCUGACCAACCUCCUUGGUUACCGCAGAGUGACAUACGGGACUGGUACUUUAGUAAGAAGGACAAGGAGAUGCAGAAACCAACGACACCCACCAGCAAGCCAAGAAUGGCCCCUGAGGGAGCUGACCCUCGCAAUGGCGAAGGUGCCUACUAGUGCCACUGCAGUGCCACCUUGAGGACCCAUAUUUCUUACCAAUUAUAUUAGCGAUCUGCAUGGAACUUGCAUACCUUAUUGAACCCAUGCCUAUCUACAAGGGUGCAAAUUUUGAAUGAUAUUGGUCAACAUCAACCUCAGCUAAAGGUGGCUGAACUUUGACCUUCGUUUGUGCAGGCUGCGAUGCUGAAACUUUGCCCAGUUGCAGCAUCUUUCACAUGUAUCAGGAUAA